Molecule: ribosomal RNA, 251 nt
Filed under: uncultured prokaryote
Description: partial 16S rRNA
Rfam family: Bacterial small subunit ribosomal RNA
Source: RNAcentral
ACGUAGGGGGCGAGCGUUAUUCGGAAUUACUGGGUGUAAAGGGUAUGUAGGCGGCCCUUCAAGUCGCGUGUCAAAGUCUAGUGCUCAACGCUGGGUGUGCGCGUGAUACUGACGGGCUUGAGGACUGGAGAGGUGAGCGGAAUUCCCGAUGUAGUGGUGAAAUACGUAGAGAUCGGGAAGAACACCAACGGCGCAGGCAGCUCACUAGGCAGUUACUGACGCUAAGGUACGAAAGCGUGGGGAUCAAACAG